AGCUCCAAAUUACAGUCAAUGGAAAUUUAGUCAAUACAGGUAGAAAGGCUGCAAAUUCAGAUGUCUACUUUAGAAUAGAACUAAAUCUCUGGCUCUUCACUGAGAGCCUACAUGCCAGAGAUGCUCUUCAACUCCUUCCUGAGAUAACUACUUUAAGGUUUCAACUAAAGAGGUGGCCCAUCCGUGUAUGCCAUAUCCUGAGCACAAGCCCAAGGUUGUGCCUCAGCAUAGGCACAGGACUGGAGGACUUUCAGAGGACAAUGAGAAUGACCAAGUCUGUGAAAACCACCACUGCAGGAAUCAAACAGAAAGUGUCUAGUGUCCAUGAUACCUUUGUUAUGCAAGUGUCAAUCAGGAAAAGUUAAAGUUGUUGAACAAGAGCUACCAUGUCUUAAAAGCAAACAAAUAAAUAAAUACAAUGCCUCCCCUUCCUGCCUAGUAAAGGAUUUGGCUGUCUUACAUAAGAGGAACGGGGAUGUGGAGUCAAUUCAGAUGGUUCACAGCUACUCUCCACCCUGUCCUAAUCGGAAGCUGAAAGACUGGGCUGUGAAGGUGAGAAAGAAGGGUUCAUGAACCCCAUAUGCUUCCCCAUAUGGUUCAUUUGGACUUCAGUCCCAAGGAGUCAGCAAGGACUCCUCAAUCCAGACCUAUGUAGGGGAUCAUUCUGCAAGAAUAGCCUGUUGCCUGAGUUUGCAGGGAGCAAGAACAAAGGCUGCUUUAUGACCACAGUUAACCAGGUUUCUGCCUUCUUCAUAUCAUUAGAGGG
Long non-coding RNA from Oxyura jamaicensis (ruddy duck), 766 nucleotides. RefSeq lists it as uncharacterized. The transcript has 2 exons. The record is from RefSeq and is a predicted model, not a curated record. Lineage: Eukaryota; Metazoa; Chordata; Aves; Anseriformes; Anatidae.